This 253-nucleotide ribosomal RNA is filed under the name uncultured bacterium. RNAcentral describes it as "partial 16S ribosomal RNA". It matches the Rfam family "Bacterial small subunit ribosomal RNA", at positions 524 to 776 of the family's 1533-position model. The record is from RNAcentral.
UACGUAGGGCGCAAGCGUUGUCCGGAAUUAUUGGGCGUAAAGAGCUCGUAGGCGGCUUGUCACGUCGGGUGUGAAAGCCCCGGGCUCAACCUGGGAAUUGCAUUCGAGACUGCGUGGCUAGGGUGCGGAAGAGGGAAGCGGAAUUUCCGGUGUAGCGGUGAAAUGCGUAGAUAUCGGAAGGAACACCAGUGGCGAAAGCGGCUUCCUGGUCCAGCACCGACGUUCAGGCACGAAAGCGUGGGGAGCAAACAGG